AAAAUUGAUUGUCCAUAAACUCGGUGCAUGGAUUCUCCUACUGCUCAAUUUUUUUAUUUAUCGUUUCCUGGACCACAGUUGACAUAUCUGUCUCCGUGUCAUCAGAGGAGGACAAACGCUAUGUUUUCCCUCAGGUAUGACACACUUUAGAACAUAUUGUACAUAAACAAACGGAACAUUGGUACAAAUAGCCUACUUACCAGACUCUCUGCCUGGCAUAGACAUGGACACAUACAGGCAUACUGUAUAAGUAUUCUGCACCAUCUCUCUACAGGACUGGUGGCGUGUCUUUGUGGUAAUGAUGGCAUUAGGGCUGACGGUGCUGGAGGUAUACAGGGAGGUGAUGUAGAUUCUACGCUCUGUUAGAAAGCUAAAAGAUUGGCAGCCGUGGUGUGAUCAGAGACUCAAUGAGGAUCUGGCUUGCACACAUCCCAUGUGGCCAGAGGAACGUCACUACAUCAAGGGUCAGAUUAAGUUCAUCUGGAACAUGAAGGGAAGCUACUCGCAGGACCCCUGGAAUAUAUUUGAUUGGCUUGUGUAUGCAUUGCUGAUAGCAGUUUUGGGUCUUCACUUGGCUGAUGUUUACCUGGUCUGUCAGACACUCCGAAUGUAUAGCCUCCGCAUCUUCGCUGUGGCCGUCAUCUUCCUCUGGCUCAGGCUGAUGAAGCAUGUCAGAGCAUUUAGGUAAUAGGUAUCACCUUUAUGUGCUUGCCUUAAUUUCUGUAAUUGACAUUAAAAAUCAUUAAAAAUGUUGCUACUACUACUACUAAUAAUUUAUAUUCAAGAGAUUAUGGCCAGAUAAUUUUGAAUUGGAGGAAUAAAAAUUGACUUUGUAAAGAUAAAGAUGAUUCGUUUCCCUCUUACAUGACAUACAUUUCUAAUUAGCAUUGACACCUGUGUACAUACAGUAAAAUGUCUCCAGAAAGUAUUCAACAGAUAAUUGAUAAGUAUUGAAUGCUUAUCAAUUGAUAGACGAUUAAUAAGAAUUCACCCCUCCCCCUCACCUUUCUUUCAGCAAU
Ictalurus punctatus (channel catfish) is the source of this 1019-nucleotide long non-coding RNA. RefSeq lists it as uncharacterized. The transcript is spliced from 3 exons. The record is from RefSeq and is a predicted model, not a curated record. NCBI's taxonomy places the organism in Eukaryota, Metazoa, Chordata, Actinopteri, Siluriformes, Ictaluridae.